This 2226-nucleotide ribosomal RNA is filed under the name Ligilactobacillus pobuzihii E100301 = KCTC 13174. RNAcentral describes it as "bacterial LSU rRNA". It matches the Rfam family "Bacterial large subunit ribosomal RNA", at positions 695 to 2925 of the family's 2925-position model. The record is from RNAcentral. Lineage: Bacteria; Bacillati; Bacillota; Bacilli; Lactobacillales; Lactobacillaceae.
ACGAGUACGUUGACGUAGACCCGAAACCAAGUGACCUACCCAUGUCCAGGUUGAAAGUGCGGUAAAACGCACCGGAGGACCGAACCCAUGUAUGUUGAAAAAUGCUGGGAUGAGGUGUGGGUAGCGGUGAAAUUCCAAACGAACUUGGAGAUAGCUGGUUCUCUCCGAAAUAGCUUUAGGGCUAGCCUCGGAAGUUAAGGAUCGUGGAGGUAGAGCACUGUUUGGACUAGGGGCCCGUCUUGGGUUACUGAAUUCAGAUAAACUCCGAAUGCCACUGAUCUUGUUCCGGGAGUCAGACUGCGAGUGAUAAGAUCCGUAGUCGAAAGGGAAACAGCCCAGACCACCAAUUAAGGUCCCUAAAUAUGUGUUAAGUGGAAAAGGAUGUGGGAUCGCACAGACAACUAGGAUGUUGGCUCAGAAGCAGCCAUCAUUCAAAGAGUGCGUAAUAGCUCACUAGUCGAGUGAUCCUGCGCCGAAAAUGUAACGGGGCUAAACACAUUACCGAAAUUGUGGAUCCGACCUUUGGGUCGGGUGAUAGGAGAGCGUUCUAAGGGCGAAGAAGCCAGACCGCAAGGACUGGUGGAGCGCUUAGAAGUGAGAAUGCCGGUAUGAGUAGCGCAAGGUCAGUGAGAAUCUGACCCACCGUAUGACUAAGGUUUCCUGGGGAAGGCUCGUCCUCCCAGGGUUAGUCGGGACCUAAGCUGAGGCCAAGAGGCGUAAGCGAUGGCUAACAGGUGGAGAUUCCUGUACUGGUCAGAUCUGUUUGAGUGAUGGAGGGACGCAGGAGGCUAACGGAGCGUGCAGCUGGAAUUGCACGUCCAAGCAGCGAGUCGCAAAACGAGUGAAAGGCUUGUUUUGGUGGUAGAUGAGCUGUGAUGGGGAGCGAAAUUUAAGUAGCGAAGGAAGUCAGGUCACACUGCCGAGAAAAGCUUCUAGCGAAGAUCUGAUCACCCGUACCGCAAACCGACACAGGUAGUCGAGGAGAGUAUCCUCAGGUGAGCGAGUGAACUCUCGUUAAGGAACUCGGCAAAAUGACCCCGUAACUUCGGGAGAAGGGGUGCUGGUCGACAGACCAGCCGCAGUGAAUAGGCCCAGGCGACUGUUUAUCAAAAACACAGGUUUCUGCAAAAUCGUAAGAUGAUGUAUAGGGGCUGACGCCUGCCCGGUGCUGGAAGGUUAAGAGGAUGAGUCAGCUUCGGCAAAGCUCAAAAUCGAAGCCCCAGUAAACGGCGGCCGUAACUAUAACGGUCCUAAGGUAGCGAAAUUCCUUGUCGGGUAAGUUCCGACCCGCACGAAAGGCGUAACGAUCUGGGCACUGUCUCAACGAGAGACUCGGUGAAAUUAUAAUACCUGUGAAGAUGCAGGUUACCCGCGACAGGACGGAAAGACCCCAUGGAGCUUUACUGUAGCUUGAUAUUGGGUGUUCGUGCAACUUGUACAGGAUAGGUAGGAGCCGUGGAAGACGGGACGCUAGUCUCGUCGGAGGCACAGGUGGGAUACUACCCUCGUUGUAUGAACACUCUAACCCGCACCGGUGAUCCCGGUGGGAGACAGUGUCUGGUUGGCAGUUUGACUGGGGCGGUCGCCUCCCAAAAGGUAACGGAGGCGCCCAAAGGUUCCCUCAGAAUGGUUGGAAAUCAUUCCUAGAGUGUAAAGGCAGAAGGGAGCUUGACUGUGAGACUGACAAGUCGAGCAGGGACGAAAGUCGGGCUUAGUGAUCCGGUGGUUCCGCAUGGAAGGGCCAUCGCUCAACGGAUAAAAGCUACCCUGGGGAUAACAGGCUUAUCUCCCCCAAGAGUCCACAUCGACGGGGAGGUUUGGCACCUCGAUGUCGGCUCAUCGCAUCCUGGGGCUGUAGUCGGUCCCAAGGGUUGGGCUGUUCGCCCAUUAAAGCGGUACGCGAGCUGGGUUCAGAACGUCGUGAGACAGUUCGGUCCCUAUCCGUCGCGGGCGUAGGAAAUUUGCGAGGAUCUGUCCUUAGUACGAGAGGACCGGGAUGGACACACCGCUGGUGUACCAGUUGUCUUGCCCAAGGCAGCGCUGGGUAGCUAAGUGUGGCUGAGAUAAACGCUGAAAGCAUCUAAGUGCGAAACUCACCUCAAGAUUAGAUUUCCCAUUCCUUAAUGGAAGUAAGACCCCUGAAAGAAUAUCAGGUAGAUAGGAUGGAAGUGGAAGUGCCGUGAGGCAUGGAGCGGACCAUUACUAAUCGGUCGAGGACUUGACCCA